This 460-nucleotide ribosomal RNA is filed under the name uncultured bacterium. RNAcentral describes it as "partial 16S ribosomal RNA". It matches the Rfam family "Bacterial small subunit ribosomal RNA", at positions 338 to 795 of the family's 1533-position model. The record is from RNAcentral.
CCUACGGGAUGCAGCAGUGAGGAAUCUUGGUCAAUGGGCGGAAGCCUGAACCAGCCAAGUCGCGUGAGGGAAUAAGGCCCUACGGGUCGUAAACCUCUUUUGCCGGGGAGCAAGGGCGGGGACGUGUCCCGGCCCGCAGAGUACCCGUAGACAAAGCCUCGGCUAACUCCGUGCCAGCAGCCGCGGGAAUACGGAGGAUGCGAGCGUUAUCCGGCUUUAUUGGUUUUAAAGGGUGCGUAGGCGGGCUUUUAAGUCAGCGGUAAAAAUUCGGGGCUCAACCCCGUCCGGCCGUUGAAACUGGGGGCCUUGAGUGGGCGAGAAGAAGGCGGAAUGCGUGGUGUAGCGGUGAAAUGCAUAGAUAUCACGCAGAACCCCGAUUGCGAAGGCAGCCUGCCGGAGCCCGACUGACGCUGAGGCACGAAAGUGCGGGGAUCGAACAGGAUUAGAUACCCCUGUAGUC